CAGCAGCAGGUCCUCUGUUCUGGCGAUCCGCGAGAGCGUUGCCGAGGAUUGCUAUGGCAAACCGCGGCAAUGCUCUCGCGGAUCGCCAGAACAGAGGACCUGCUGCUG
Pelobates cultripes (western spadefoot toad) is the source of this 108-nucleotide non-coding RNA. NCBI's taxonomy places the organism in Eukaryota, Metazoa, Chordata, Amphibia, Anura, Pelobatidae. The record is from the annotation of a GenBank genome assembly.